Non-coding RNA from Meleagris gallopavo (turkey), 1123 nucleotides. The record is from RefSeq and is a predicted model, not a curated record. NCBI's taxonomy places the organism in Eukaryota, Metazoa, Chordata, Aves, Galliformes, Phasianidae.
GCUGAAAGAGAAGAGAGGGGCCCAGAGGGUUACAGCCACCAGGGGAGGAGGGGAUGGGGUCAGUCAAACAUGAGUUCCAUGAGCACAGCCAGCACUGCCUUGGGCAGUGGCAGUGCUCCUCACAGGCUGUGGGGCAGAGCAGGUGAGCCCCCAAGGAUUUCCCCUGCAGGGUGCCCCACAGAGAGAAAUAGCUCACCUAAGCUGCAGGAAGUGCGUGGCUAUGCUCUGUUUCUCUGCCCUGCAGAGACAGAAAUAGCUCACCUUAGCUGCAGGAAGCACACGGCUAUGUUCAGCGUCUCCUACCUUUGCCCAGCUCCAGGGUGCAGUGGGCAGAACUUGGCCAUGGAUCAAUAUGGUCAAAGGUUGAGGAACAUUAAACACAUCUCAUUGCAGCUUCCUGCACAGCCCUGGGGCUCUGCAUCCACCAGGAUCAUGGACGCAGGAGAAGCAUUGCCAUGGCACAGGGGAAAGCUGCGGGCUGCAAUCCAUGAUCUUGCUCUGAGCUAUGCCCAAGCCCAUCUUCCUCUUCUGGGAGGCUCUGGGGAUGAGCAGAGCUUUGUGGAGAGGUGGGAGAUGCUUCACCAGGAGGGGGUAACUUGGUGCAGUUUGGAUUUUGUAUGUUUUUUUAUGUUCUUGUUUUUGUGAAUUUUUUGUCUAUUGACGUGUUUUCUUCCUUCUGAGCUUCCUGGAGGGAGCCUUGUUCUGCUGGGAAAGCCACACAUGGCGAGAAGGUUCAGCUUGUUAUCUGGUAGAGCCCACACUGCUUUGGUGGAACAUGGAUGAGGACUCAGCCUGUUCCAUGGAACCAACGCCCCAACAACUGAUAACAAUCAAUGAUUGAUUACCAUCAGCAGAUGUGCUUUAUUAUAUUACAAGAGGGUAUGGUGUUAACACCCAAAGCAGUUUUCUACCUCUCCUUCUGUGUGUAUGUUUAUAUUUCCAAAAACAUUACAUACUCAUUCGAUUUCCACAAACCCUGAUACAUAGUCAUACUAUUUCCCAAAAUGUCCAUCUCUUUUCCAGGGUCUCUGUCUUCCACCCAUGUUUUUUCCUUCCUAUGGUUUCUUUCAACUGUAUGGCAGUUAGAGGUCAUGCAUCUUCAGUGUGGUGGUCCCUCAGGAAG